Long non-coding RNA from Arabidopsis thaliana (thale cress), 385 nucleotides. RefSeq annotates it as other RNA. NCBI's taxonomy places the organism in Eukaryota, Viridiplantae, Streptophyta, Magnoliopsida, Brassicales, Brassicaceae. The record is from RefSeq. The transcript has a single exon.
GGACUUAGGGCUUGGGCUAUGAUCGGUGUGGGAAAAUCUCUCAAACAUGACACGAUAAGAAUGUGCCUCAAGAAGGAGGCCCAAGUUCGUGGUCUUUGGUUUGAAGGGGAGAUUGUUGGGUACAAUCGAUCUUGGCAUGAUCUUAGAUUGCCGCAAGCAUGUGCUUUGCUUGCUUGGCCAUAUGGCUGGCUCUGGAUGCAAUCUCUACAACUAGUAUGAGGCCUUUUGGGAAGAAACCCAAUAACAAAUCCUUGCGGGCUUGAGGAUAUAAGCCCAAAGAGGACAAUAUCAUACUAAAUGGGAGUUGGAAUGGGCUUAGAAAGCCCAUUAAAUGGUAUCAGAGCCUAGAUUGAAAAAGUGGACCUUGGGCUUGGACUAUGAUCGG